This 246-nucleotide ribosomal RNA is filed under the name uncultured bacterium. Its description in RNAcentral is "partial 16S ribosomal RNA". It matches the Rfam family "Bacterial small subunit ribosomal RNA", at positions 523 to 769 of the family's 1533-position model. The record is from RNAcentral.
AUACGGAGGAUCCGAGCGUUAUCCGGAUUUAUUGGGUUUAAAGGGUGCGUAGGUGGUUUGAUAAGUCAGCGGUGAAAGUUUGCAGCUUAACUGUAAAAGUGCCUUCGAAACUGGUUUCUUGAGUGUAGAUGAAGUAGGCGGAAUUUGUGGUGCAGCGGUGAAAUGCUUAGAUAUCACAAAGAACUCCGAUUGCGCAGGCAGCUUACUAAGCUACAACUGACACUGAAGCACGAAAGCGUGGGGAUC